This 497-nucleotide ribosomal RNA is filed under the name uncultured bacterium. Its description in RNAcentral is "partial 16S ribosomal RNA". It matches the Rfam family "Bacterial small subunit ribosomal RNA", at positions 28 to 507 of the family's 1533-position model. The record is from RNAcentral.
GAUGAACGCUGGCGGCGUGUCUAAUACAUGCAAGUCGAGCGAACAGACGAGGAGCUUGCUCCUUUGACGUUAGCGGCGGACGGGUGAGUAACACGUAUGUAACCUACCUAUAAGACUGGGAUAACUUCGGGAAACCGGAGCUAAUACCGGAUAAUAUUUCGAACCGCAUGGUUCGAUAGUGAAAGAUGGCUUUGCUAUCACUUAUAGAUGGACCUGCGCCGUAUUAGCUAGUUGGUAAGGUAACGGCUUACCAAGGCAACGAUACGUAGCCGACCUGAGAGGGUGAUCGGCCACACUGGAACUGAGACACGGUCCAGACUCCUACGGGAGGCAGCAGUAGGGAAUCUUCCGCAAUGGGCGAAAGCCUGACGGAGCAACGCCGCGUGAGUGAUGAAGGUCUUCUGAUCGUAAAACUCUGUUAUUAGGGAAGAACAAACGUGUAAGUAACUGUGCACGUCUUGACGGUACCUAAUCAGAAAGCCACGGCUAACUACGUG